GGGAGUGCAAAGGUUUCGACAGGGUUGUUAUGCUAUAAGUAGCAGGCCAGGUUGAUCGCUGUGAGAGAUCAACUCAUCGUUUAGAUGGAAACAAAAAUUACGCUUUAGCUGCAUAAUGCCAGCUUGCCUCUAGUCUUUCUUUUCUGUAAGAGCGGCUAAACGAGGUAUAACCUAAAUACAGAUUACCCGAAUCGAUUUCUCUAAGGUUUGGGGACAAUUUAGAGGAUAGCUUUACUUAGCCCUGUCUGCGGGAAUAAGUAUUGCGAAAUUAAAUAGUAGACUAAGCUUGUAGAAGCUUAUGGUACUAACAGUUUUGGACGCGGGUUCGAUUCCCGCCACUUCCACCA
This 347-nucleotide transfer-messenger RNA is filed under the name Fusobacteriaceae. RNAcentral's name for it is "JAGNZR01 sp017984315 Standard tmRNA". It matches the Rfam family "transfer-messenger RNA". Rfam says of the family: Bacterial tmRNA, also known as 10Sa RNA or SsrA, is named for its dual tRNA and mRNA-like properties. Its role is to liberate the mRNA from a stalled ribosome. Lineage: Bacteria; Fusobacteriati; Fusobacteriota; Fusobacteriia; Fusobacteriales. RNAcentral also lists the same sequence under 1 other name. The record is from RNAcentral.